This is a long non-coding RNA of Prinia subflava (tawny-flanked prinia), 5682 nucleotides long. RefSeq lists it as uncharacterized. The transcript has 6 exons. The record is from RefSeq and is a predicted model, not a curated record. Lineage: Eukaryota; Metazoa; Chordata; Aves; Passeriformes; Cisticolidae.
CAUUGCCCUUUGUCCUGUCACCCAUCUCUGGCCAUAUAAAAAGUCCCUCUCUCCACUUUUCAUAAGCCCCCUUAAGGUAUUGAACGGCUUCAGUGAGGUCUCCCUAAAGCCUUUUCUUCUCUAGACUGAAUAACCCCAGCUCUCUCAGCCUGUCUCCAUAGCACAGGUGUUCCAGCCCUCUGAUCCUCUUCAUAGCCUCCUCUGGACCUGCUCUAACAGGACCAUAUCUUUCUUGUGCUAAGUACCCCAGAGCUGGAUGCAGCACUCCAGUUGGGGUCAUGUGAGAGCACAGUGGAUGGGGAGAAUCCCUUGACCUGCUGGCCACCUUACUUUUGAUGUAACCUAGGAAGUGUUUGGAUUUCUAGGCCUGAGUGCACACUGUUGACUCAUGUCUACAUCCACAAGAACCCCUAAGUGCUUCUCCAGGUGACUGGUCUCAAUGGGUUGUCCUAGUCUGGGAAUACCACAAUCCAGGUGCAGCACCUUGCCUUGGACUUGUUGAACAUCAUGAGGUUCUUAUGGGCUGAUACACACACACACACACACACACACACACACACACAUACACACAUACACACACACUUCUCUAACUCCUUCAGCUUCAUUUCCCUUCUGCUAAGCACAGAGAGUCUGUCUGUCACUGAGUCCAUUCCUCUCUUUCACAGUUGUAUUUUAAGGGUGGGAGGGUGUGUUCUGGUUACAUUCAAGGUUAGAGAGGAGGGCAUGAGAUGACUGAGCAUGAGGAUGAAAACAAUAUGGACUGCAAAGUUAGAAGAUUCCAGCAUCCCAGCUGUCCUGUGAUUUUGUGCAUGGAAUGAGUGGUGUAAGCCUAUCAUAUAACUGUAUGCUACAGCCCUCCUUAUGGCAACGACAAAGAACUGGGUUUUUCAGACAUAAAAAUCAUCAGGAUUAGUAAAUGUAUUGCAAAGUCCUUGCAUAUGUGUGACUGCACAGUAGCCGUCGCUCAGGAAUUUUCUGGCUAGGGCCAAGGUGUAAGGGAUGAACAUAUGACAAUUCAGUCUAAGCCAAAAAAAGAAGUUGCAUGGGAGAAAACAAAGAGGUAAUGAUUAACUAAUUUUUUGAUUUCCAAAGUAUUGAAACCUGGUAUUCUUAUCUUGCUGGCAUUGUCUUUAAUGAAUUAAAUUAUUGUUGUGUGCAAUAGUUUGUCUUUAAAUAUUUUCCUUGCUGCACACAUGUAAUACAUACAAAAACACUCAUACCUACUGUAAAAAUUCCUAAUUCCUAUUAGCUGAAAAGCAUUAGAGCUGUCACUGCCUCUUGAAUAAAAGGUCUGUAUAGCGUAACUGUAUACUUCAGAUAUAACCUAGAAUGAGUUUUUAGGGCAACUUUCUACUAGCUUUGUUUAAGCUACACAAAGCAGCUAGAACUGGGACCCAGUCCUGUUCUCAAUAGUUGUAGUUUAAUACACCAUUCCUCAAAUUAGGAGCUGUAAAUAUUUGUAAUUGCCUACAACUUUGCAGUAAUUGAAAUAAGGCAGUCAUUAAACCUCGUCUUCCUGUCCAGUUAUCUGUGCUUUUUUCAGGAAUGUUUUUGCCCUUAACUAAUGCCAAUAAAUGACAAGUUUUGCAAAACAAUUGCUAUAUGAAAUGUACGUAUAUUUGAUAUUCAUUUCCGAGUUUCUCCACAAACUACCCGGAGUGAUAUAGAACUUAUUGCUGUAUUCCUAGAAAAGAUGAUUUUAUAGUACUGAUAUACAUUAACAUGGAGCUGUAGAGGCCUAUAUUUGGAAUGGCUCAUGUGUGUGUUUAUACUUUAUGAGUGGAACCCUGGAACCCAAAUAUAAGUGCAUAUAGAAACAUGAUAAGGUUUUGUUCUGAAAUUGAAGGCUCUGAAAAUACAAGAGCACAAUUUUAAAAAGAAUACACUUCAUAAAGAAACAUAUCCUCAAUCUCAAAUUAACAGAGAUGGAGACACUUAACAAUCUCUGGAAAUAAACUGAGAACGGCCUAAAGUAGUAGCACAUAUUAUGUCAAGAAGUGGAGUACUUAAAUUAUUUCCUGCAUUUUAAAUCUAGAAUGUUAGUUUGGCAUCUCAUCUAUUUAUAUUAUAUAUAUGUAUGAGAUAGAUAGAUAGAUAGAUAUACACACAUAUAUAUCAUAUGUAUAUAUACCUAUAUAUAUAUCAUAUGUACAAGGUAUAUAGGUAUAUAUAGCUAUAUACAUAUAUAUAUGUAUGUAUGUGUUUGUGUCUGUGUACAUGUAUAAUAGCUACUUAAGAAAGAAAAAGAAAAGCACCAAUGAGCUGUUUCCUACUGAACGAAAAUCUGAUCUACCAGGAUCUUGAACACAGGGAGGCCCUUCUUUCCAACUUCUAUGGACAUCUUUCAAAAAUAAAUUUCCAGAGCCAAAUUCCUAAAUAUGGCUCAGGCUGGCAUGACAGAUAGCUCAGCCUGCAGUAGCACCUCUUUCUUCACAACAGGCAAGGAUAAAAUAUGAAGUUUAUUGUAAAGUAAAACUUAUGGCCCCAAAAAUAUUUGUAGGUCUCCCAAGUUUGGUAGCUACUCAUAUGGACUUUUAAACCCCCAGUUUUAAAGCACCUGAAAUCCAUUUUCAGCUUUUGUGUGUCUUAUUGCUGUUUAUCCUCACCAGGAUCUCGAUUAAGAUUUGCUUUAAAAGCUUUUCUAAAUUGGAUUCUUAUUACUAAGAAGAAAAGUAGUAUCUCUGUUUACCUUUACAAAUGGGAAAAUGUUUGACUGAAUUUGUAGUCACAGUACUUUGGUAAAGAAUGAAAGACAAUUAAAUCUAACUGGGAAAUUUGAUAAAUAAUUCACUGCGAGAGCUGAGAGAUGCAUUGAUGUCAUUUAGGUUUUGUCUUUUUUUCUUUUAUAUGUUCUCUGUAUUCUUCACUCAUAUAUCUGUAGUCUAUUGUAUUAGUGACCAGUUUUCCCAGUACUGUCCAUGGCCUUUUCCUAAGCAGAAAGAUAAAACAAAUUCAGAGCUCCAAGCCCCGGGAGGUAAAAGGCUCUGUGCUAUCUUGGUUCUUCCUGGGAACCAAGGCCAAGAACAGCUCUUCCAGAUACAUUCUCAUGGACAAAGUACAGCCAGUGCUGAAGGGGGGACUCCAGAGAAGGAGCUUGACCUGGGGGGGAACUGCAUCACCUCUUGUGCUCCUAAUUGGUGUUUUUUAUCAAUUAUGCUAAUUUCAUAAAACCUUUAAAAUGUACUCAUCCCUGGGAGUUGGAGUGGGGAGGGCACUUUUGUGGACAUCUUUCUGUAAUUGCUUCUGAAGGCCCUCAAAUAAAGAUCCCCUUUUAUAUUACCUCCCUACUAAAAUUAUCUCAAGUUUCAUUUCCAGGUUGGGAAAAAGGCAACAGCACAGUAGUUUUUCUGGUAACUACAGAUAUGUCUUUUGACCUGGAGAACUGAGAGUCUACUCAAGAUUGCCUCACAUUUGCAUGGAACCCAAGGACAGUGUUUCAGAAAGGCAGUACGCACAGUUCAAAGAAAUAAUGUUUAAGGACCCGAGGAAAUGGCAUGAAGGUGACUUGGAGGAGAGUUAGGUUGGAUAUGAGGAAAAGGUUUUCCACACCGAGGGUGGUUGGACACUGGAACAGGCUCCCCAGGGAAGGAGUCACAGCACCAAGCCUGACAGAGAUCUGACUGUAGUUCGUUUAUUGUUUAAGAAGCAGCCACACAAGGGGCAAGUAUUUCAAUUGCGGCUUUAUGGACAGCAUAAGCCUUUAUUCAAGAAGCUGUCAAGUAGCUGCAGCCCAACUGAAAGGCUUAGAGAUAAAGAAGAAAUCAUUUAAUCAAAAUACUGUGACCUGAAGACCAAAGAAGUGAAACUAAAUGUGUAAGUGUACAACAUUGCAAAUAAGGCAAAGAUAAAGGAAUGUUCCUGGAGAAAACACUGAACGCUUGAUAAAAUGUAGCUGCCUGGGCAGUUAUGAUUUUAAUGGGAAAAGAAAUCACUUGGAAGAUGUGUUGCAUAGACUGGAGAAGAUGAUCCAGAUCUAUGAAAAAUUAAAAGGUCCUCUCUUUCAAAUCUAUAAUAUUACUUGAUUGUGAGAGUACUAAAUUUAAGAAAGGAACCCAAAUCCAAUCAUCCUAAUCAAACUACAAGAAGAUCACUGGAUCCAAUUCAAAAGUGGAUGCCUCACAAAAGAGGAUUUUCACAGACUCUGAGAGUAUCUUGCUCAUGAUGUCAAACUGUAAAAUAAUCUUCUUGAAAGGAAGAUAUGGAAAUGAAUGUUGUUAACAAAUUACAUUCAUAUUCAAUAGCUGUUCAUCUAAGUCACCUUUAAGUAAGUGAGGUAAUUAAUGAGGUUGGGAAAACACCAAACACAAAUCAUACCAUCAAAGCAAAUAUAUUAUGAUUUGUGCAUACAAAAUAGAUAAUUCCUUGGAAUGCACAAUAAUGAGGAGGUAUAAUGUUUUUGGAACCUCUUUUUGCACAGAUAUUUUCCAUGUCAUUCUGUUCCUUUUUCCCCAGCUCCUGCGCUUUAGUCCUAAAAGUACUCAGUAUGUCUGUAUCUUUCCAUUUGCUUCUUCCUCCCAAGAGGGUAUUUUAUUACUUUCAUUCCAGCUCUGAACAGAGUAGUACUUUUUAAAAUCUAGCACCACCUCUUUAUGGAGGUAUAAGCAGCAUAACAUGUAGUGUUAUGAAGCAAUGGAGGUGGCAUCUAUCACUUUGAAAUCUGAGGUUACAAUUCAGAGCCCAGAGUGUACAACAGUUUCAGCAAGACUGGAGCAUUUCCUCCAUGCAAAUAUUGAAGUUGAUUCUCUGACCCCACAAAGUCGCUCAGCAUAUUAUUGCUUAUUUUCAAGGUUUAAUUCUAACCUAACUCCUUUCUAUGGCAAUUAUUUUCCUUAUUGAAACUCGCAAUUACUGUGAAAACAUUCUUCUGAAAUUGGUUUCUGUGCUGCAAAAUAAGCAAAACUGCUCUAUUGUUUUGAAUAAAAAAAAAGAUUUUUUGAGAAAAUCUUGCCGUCAUUUGUAAAAAAAUUCAAAUCCGCAGAUUUUCCAAAUGAACUGAAUGAAUUUGAAAUAGAACUGAUCUAAGUGCAUUAUGAAGAUGUGAUGUGCUUGUUUUAUCUUGUUAAGCAGCAAGUUUUACUUUUCAAUGUCAUUUAUAUUACUCAUUGAAAUGAAAGUCAACUGGAGUAUAGCUUAAAAAAUCUAUUAAGCAUUUUCAAAAUGGCCAGUCUUCCAUGAAGAAUCAGAUUUUUCUUUUGAGCAAUACAGGUUAUUAAUAUACAACUUGGGUGUGCUUAUUAGUCAAGGAGUCAUGAAAGUUUUAGAUUCUCAUUAGAAAGAUAGUCCAGUCCAGAAAUAUCUGUACCUUGCCUGCCCUUUCUCCUUGACUAACAGAACAGAGAUCCUUUCCUAGUUAAACAGCAGCUAGAACUCAGAGCAGGCUAUAUGUUUCAUCCUGUCCCAUUGAUAUUUAUUUCUGAGUUCUUAAGCAGUGUUCUCUAUUGCCGUGAAAAUAUUCAUUCCUCCAGCACAAUUUCUGAAACAUUUUUUUUUAAGAGUUUGCUUCAUCAUUAUAUUUACAGAUACACACACAUAUAUACUGAAAUAUUUGUAAUCUGUUUCUUUAGAAAACCUGUAUCUUCAAAAUAUGUCACUAUUAAAUACUACAAUGAAACUGUUUUCCUCUGUUGAACACUUUUCAUUAUUCAUAUAUAUGGUUGAACAUGACAUACAUUUUUGAAUAGU